GUCUCUGUGGCGCAAUAGGUAUGAGUGGUCUGCUCUCAAUAGCCAAUGAGACAUAAACUAAUCCAGUAUCAACAGGUUAGCGCGUCUGACUGUUAAUCAGGAGGUUGGAAGUUCGAGCCUUCCCAGGGACG
Non-coding RNA from Aspergillus terreus NIH2624, 131 nucleotides. The record is from the annotation of a RefSeq genome assembly. Lineage: Eukaryota; Fungi; Ascomycota; Eurotiomycetes; Eurotiales; Aspergillaceae.